RNAcentral lists this ribosomal RNA (395 nucleotides) under uncultured bacterium. RNAcentral's name for it is "partial 16S ribosomal RNA". It matches the Rfam family "Bacterial small subunit ribosomal RNA", at positions 360 to 774 of the family's 1533-position model. The record is from RNAcentral.
AAUAUUGCACAAUGGGGGAACCCUGAUGCAGCAACGCCGCGUGAGCGAUGAAGGCCCUCGGGUCGUAAAGCCCUGGCCUAAGGGAAGAUAAUGACGGUACCUCCGGAGGAAGCCCCGGCUAACUAACUUCCAGCAGCCGCGGUAAUACGUAGGGGGCAAGCGUUAUCCGGAAUCAUUGGGCGUAAAGGGUGCGUAGGCUGCCCUAUAGGUCAGAGGUCAAAGGCUACGGCUCAACCGUAGUAAGCCUUUGAAACUGUAGGGCUUGAGUGCAGGAGAGGAGAGUGGAAUUCCUAGUGUAGCGGUGAAAUGCGUAGAUAUUAGGAGGAACACCAGUGGCGAAGGCGACUCUCUGGACUGCAACUGACGCUGAGGCACGAAAGCGUGGGUAGCGAACA